ACAUAUUGAAUAGAAAAUGCGCACGUGUACCACAAUUGAAUGGGAACAACGAAUAGUAAUGCACAUGUUAAAUGGAUUAAAAGCAGAAACGGAAACACGUUCAUCCAAUCCUUGGUCUCAACUUUUGUUAUGUUAUGCGUCCCCCUCCGCCGUGCCGGAGGAUGGCCUCUGCGGAAGAGGCUUUCCAAAACCAAAUCAAACAUCACGUUCGAACCUAAUUUGCGCCUUGAAUCCGAAUACGCCACCAGAAUUUUCUAACUCCCCCAGCAUCGCUCGGAUCGAAGAAGAAACGUGGUGAAUCCCUAACUCAUAAUCUUGAGAUUUAAACAACGACGGAGGGGAAUCGAGCCACCUCACGUUGGGGAUUUGAUUCCCCUCAUGAAAAGCUACGCAACGGUAACCUCGAUAUGCAAAGAAGAUGAAGAUAGAGGCGAAGGUUUACCGGAACGGCGCCAGUGUCAGGUUUUCGGUUUUGCGGCUUUUUGUUGGUUGGUGGUUAUGGCUGAAGGAACGAAGAAUGGUGGUUGAGUGGUGAUGAUUGGAGGUUACACGUUAGAUGCAAGUGAGGCUCAGUGAGGAUGAAGAUUGAAGAGUUUCGUUGAAGGUGAUGAGAAAUGGAAAUGAGACCAGUUGAGGGUGAAGUGAGAAGAGGAUGAAAUGGGAGUGAAGAAGAUUGAUAGUGGAUAGAGAAGAUGGAAGAAAACCAGCCCCAAAACAGAAUCACGAAGGUGACGUCUUUUCCCCGCAUAUUUGCCAACUACUAAGCUGUCAACGAGUUGUAGUCGUGAACUCAAAUGUGUUGGACUUGAGGAUGCUGCUUUUAUAAGAAUUUGCAGGGGAGUCUUGCCGGUUUUGUCAAAAAUUACACACGUGGACCUUGUUGCAUUUUCUCCUUGACUUCUGUCAUGCGUUUGUCAUGCGUUUGCUGCUUGCUGAGCUUGGUUGUGAUGCAGGUCUGCCAUGGUGUUCCUGUUACAGCUGCCAUGUGUUUUGGACGUGGCGGUUUAUAUUUGUUCGGUUGAUGCUGCAGCUUUUCCAUUUGCAGCUUUGUGUGGCUAGUUUCGUUUUGACGACAACUUCCUCACAAUUGUUAGUUUCAGACUUAGAACCGCCAUCCUAUCAUGUGGCAGCCUGGGCACAGCAGUAACAAACUGAAACAAGGCCCUCUAUUGUUCUAGAGUGAACUCUUUCAUAAUUGCAAGUAGAUUAACAAUGGCAGGGUAUCAUACCCCAAUUUUGUCCGGGUAAGGAAAAAUCUUUCACCAGCAUUCACUAUCCAAUGUUAUAAGACAUGAAUUUUAUCUUAAGACAUAGGUUCUAUUUUAGGGUUUCUCAGCCCUUGGUGACAUCAAGUCUUCAAUGACAUUGUCAUCUAUUAAGAUCCUUAAGAAGACACUUGUUGUUUUUGUCUAUUAUGGCUAUUAACUGAAGCAUAGGAUAGUAUGUGCACUUUGGGACUUUUUGGUUAACAAGGUCCGUUUUGGUUUAUCCCUGAGAACUCUUGGUUUUAAAAAAGGGUUCAUUCACAUAAACAUGUCCAUGAUUAAUAUUGCAAAGUAUGGUUCAAAUCUUUUUCCAUUACUAAUCCAAAAUCCAUUUGAUUAUUA
Molecule: long non-coding RNA, 1607 nt
Organism: Lathyrus oleraceus (garden pea)
Lineage: Eukaryota; Viridiplantae; Streptophyta; Magnoliopsida; Fabales; Fabaceae
Exons: 4
Source: RefSeq, a predicted model, not a curated record